GUCACCCCAGGCGGUCUGGCUGCCGGCUUACAUAGCGUGAAAGCCGGUGAUCUCUGGAGGAGGAGAGGAACCGACGGCGAGCAGACAUAUGGCUCAGUUCCUGGCCAGAAGGGCAAGAGGAAGUUGAAAACACUUUUGCAACCUGGUCACCCAUGGGUUGAACAUCGCAAAGCCCAAGUCAUCCCAGUUGAGAGUUGUAACGUUUGAAAGCUACAUAAAAUGCUUAAAAUGUUCUCUCCAAUGGCCACAUCUAAUCAGCUAUCACAACCAGCAGGAAGCAACCACCCCGAGCUUGGUGUACACCGCUGUUGCACGUUUCUCAAUAGAAGCAUUCCAGUUGCUAUUUCAGAGCAGCAGAAACCAGAAGACAGAUCCUUUCCCUGCUGCUCUGCAAAUCAGAGGAGAAAAGAGGAAAAUGGAAUGCAGUUCGAGUCCCGAAGUCAGCAGAUCCCCUCGGCCUAUAACAGGAAGGAGGUUGAGUAAGAGGCUGCUAUUUUUCCAUUGCCAUCUUUCAGAUCGCUAAUGGCUACAAGCAGGAGAAAGCACUUCCAUUUCCUGAAAGGAACGAGCAAUACAAUGUGCAGAGCUGGCAUGUUUAGAAACUUGUCCCCCACACACCCAAGAGGGCCUACAAUCGCCCUGGAAAGAAGGCACUUCAUUAUCAACAUCCGCACUGCUGCCAGCUGCGCUCACAACAGGGAACAGAUACCAAGCAUCUCCCACUGAUUCUAGCAUCGAGGCCAAGAAGCACGAUGAGGAUGCAUCCAACACGCCCUUGUAGCCAUUCAGUUAUCUACUGCAGUACUUUGUUUUGGCAAUGCCACGUUCUUGGCCUACAAGGCACAGCACAGGUCAGGCCCCUUCCUCUACACGGCUUUUAGUUGUCUAGCUUUCCUGCUCAGAUUGCCUGAAUCGCUAAUCAUGUCUCAGGCAGGUAGCCAGAGGAAAGCUACUCAGUUACGCUUCCUUCCUUCUGCAAAAGCACACCAAUUCAUUUGCUAAUCCACCACAGUAGGUUGCAGAUAGCCAUCUUCAUAGUCAUCUUCAUGCGUACGUUUCAGAAUUACCCUUUUGAACAAGAGCUUAAGCCGUUCUUCAUAGACUUUCUAUAGUGCCUAGACUGUGCACCUCUUCCCUUCCUCAGACGUCAGAAAACAAUCAGUGAACAUCUACGUUUCCUGUUUGAAAUCAUUUCUUUCCUACCUGCCCCCACCCCCCAAAUCACAAGAUACUCUUUGGGAGAUACUUUAAACAAAAGCAAAGAAUCAAAGUCAACCUUACUGCGUUUUCAGGAUAUGCUAAAAUGGUCCAAAUGCACUAAAAGGCCAGUGACCUCAUCUUCCUUGGGAGCACGUAUCUCAGGUAGAACUAUCAUAGACUGCAAGAGGCCAAGGGAACUGAGCAUCGUCCUCUGGAAAGGAGAGACUUCCUCAGUCAGACACUGAGUGUAUAAAUGGCAUUUCUUACCACUCCUUUCCCACUAGGUUGAUGGUUAGCUACCAACCCUUGGAAGGAAAAAAGAAAAAGAAACAACAAAGCGAAAUUUAAGUUAAAAAGAAAGGAAUGGAAAAGCUGUCCUCAAAACCUUGCAGGUCUUUAAACCAAUUAAUUCAGAAGAGAAGGAGAGCCGGAUAGCAGCUGCCUGCACACCCAAUAGUUAACAUGUGGGAACAGCAGCGGGAGCACGAAGGCAAUCAGCUCUUCAGCAUCUACCAACUCCAGUGCAAAGUGCAGGUGUAAUGCUGGUGGUUGAAGCGUACAGCACGCAGGUUGCUAUCUAGAGAACAAAACUACCCAACCUCUGUGUAGUGGAAUAUACUUUUUAUUUCUUAAAAAGGAAGGGUACUAACAGAAUUUAAUACAGUCAAAAUUUUACAUCUUAAACAAAAGCUUUUAUUUCUCUUAAAAACCAGUUAUGAGCAGAGAGGUGAGAGGAUUGAAACUACUCACAAAAUCCAAGCUGAAGACUUUUGAGAAUUCAAAUCUGUGGUUUAUACAAUUUAAAAAGUGUCAUAAAUGGAAAUAUAAAAUAAUACCAACUCUGCAACAGUGAAAUGCCCUUUCUUCAUUUGAUUGCUGUUUAAGCACCUUUAUUUUCCCCUAUCAGCUGCCAAGAGUGUGUAGGUUUAUGUACAACGUAAGUAGUUUGGGACAAAAGAUUCGUCUAUAAAUUAAAACCAUUUAUGGCAACAUAGCUUUAGCCAGCCACUACACAAUCUUUAUUAUUUCUUUUGUUUCUAUAGGAUCUCUCAGCCAGAAUGAUCUCAAAUACACCUCAUGGGCUGCUCUGAAAAGCAGCUACGUUUACAGGAAUUACUGAGACGACCUCUCGGAGUAGGCAUCCAAGAGCUGAUACAACUUAAUGCGUAGUAAAACUAAGGUUCCUUUGUGUCUCAUAUAAAUACUGUGCAAUCUGUCGUCCAUCCCAUUGAACGGCUGGGACAGACCAGUGUCACGUCUGAAGCCAAACAAAAUGUUUUUAUCCAAGAGGAAACCGAAUUUUAGGCCAAAUGUAGCGGACAGGAGUUCCCUCUGACUAUUCAGUUCAAACUGAAUGCCUUUGAAAAAGCCUCACAGGAACAGAAUUUUCUGAACACCCUGCACAUACGCUUAGCUAUUUUAUAGCCUAGAGACAUGGGUGGGGGGGAGGAAGAGAUCAUCUGUGCUCGCUACAAAAGAUGCUGUAGCUUUGCUGUUGAUGGAACACCACAGAAGCAGUUGAUACCAGACAAAGGCUGUUCCAGUACAGCAUCGAAGACAAAGAAGUUACGUUAUGGCUGGAGAGGCUGUUAUCACAGGCUGAUCUCCUAGCUGAACACCGACAGACCUCCUCACCUCAGGCCUCCAGGCCUUCACACCUCCUCAAAGCGUUGGCGUCUCCUAACGGACUGCUUGUGAUUAGAAUCGUUAAGGUUGGAAGGGACCUGUACAAUCACCUAGUCCAACCAUCAACCCAGCUUGCUCCACUGUUCCUCUUUUAACACAAGAUAGAACAGGCCGUGAAAGCUGAUGAGAGUUCCAGCUGUGCAGCAUCCAGCAAAACCUCAACUCGUUAAUUACUUUCCCCCUCCAAAACCAAGACAGGGUACCCGUGUCAUCUACGUACAUAACGCAUCUAAUAGAGAUGUAGGCUAUCUAGGUUACAAGUGAGCUUCAGUAACACUCACUGUUCCAUUGCAACUCGCUGCAGUCUGGCUGAAGGGUGGAGGCAGAUCUGUUCAAGCCAAGAGAGAAAACGGUUAAAAACCCUUUCGUUCUCCUCAAUCGCUAAGUGUUACGGAUCAUUUCACACUGCCACUUUCCAAAUGCUACUCACACACAGCAAAAUUAAUUGCUCAGCUAAUGGGGUAGGAAGAAUACAGUUACCGGUGCCAUGGGUGACUACCCUUAAAGAAAGAUUGGAAGAGAAUCAGUUCCCUCAAAUUCUCAGUUUCUCUGCUUAAGUAGCUCAUUUUUUAACACGUUUUGUCUCGAUAGAAAGCAUCACAACUAGACUAAGAUUCCACAACAUCAAUCUUGCUUUUGAUUUCUGUAGUUCUCUAGGAAAAAAAAAAAAAUAAAGUAGUCCCAAAUCAAGCUACAU
Long non-coding RNA from Gallus gallus (chicken), 3583 nucleotides. RefSeq lists it as uncharacterized. NCBI's taxonomy places the organism in Eukaryota, Metazoa, Chordata, Aves, Galliformes, Phasianidae. The transcript is spliced from 2 exons. The record is from RefSeq and is a predicted model, not a curated record.